UAGAGAGUUUGGACUUUAAU
Molecule: non-coding RNA, 20 nt
Filed under: Rattus norvegicus (Norway rat)
Lineage: Eukaryota; Metazoa; Chordata; Mammalia; Rodentia; Muridae
Source: RNAcentral